RNAcentral lists this ribosomal RNA (1333 nucleotides) under Lophiostoma arundinis. Its description in RNAcentral is "eukaryotic LSU rRNA". It matches the Rfam family "Eukaryotic large subunit ribosomal RNA", at positions 37 to 1391 of the family's 3401-position model. The record is from RNAcentral. Lineage: Eukaryota; Fungi; Ascomycota; Dothideomycetes; Pleosporales; Lophiostomataceae.
AGCAUAUCAAUAAGCGGAGGAAAAGAAACCAACAGGGAUUGCCCUAGUAACGGCGAGUGAAGCGGCAACAGCUCAAAUUUGAAAUCUGGCUCCUUUGGGGUCCGAGUUGUAAUUUGUAGAGGGUGCUUUGGCGUCGGUUGUGGUCUAAGUUCCUUGGAACAGGACGUCACAGAGGGUGAGAAUCCCGUACGUGGCCGCCAGCCUUCGCCGUGUAAAGCCCCUUCGAUGAGUCGAGUUGUUUGGGAAUGCAGCUCUAAAUGGGAGGUAAAUUUCUUCUAAAGCUAAAUAUUUGCCAGAGACCGAUAGCGCACAAGUAGAGUGAUCGAAAGAUGAAAAGCACUUUGGAAAGAGAGUCAAAAAGCACGUGAAAUUGUUGAAAGGGAAGCGCUUGCAGCUAGACGUGCCUUGGGUUGAUCAGCCGGACUUUUGCCCGGUGCACUCUUCCUUUGGCAGGCCAGCAUCAGUUUGGGCGGCUGGAUAAAGGUCUGUUAAACGUGACUUCCUUCGGGGAGAGCUUAUAGGGCAGACGACAUGCAGCCAGCCUGAACUGAGGUCCGCGCAUCUGCUAGGAUGCUGGCAUAAUAGCUGUAAGCGGCCCGUCUUGAAACACGGACCAAGGAGUCUAACAUCUAUGCGAGUGUUUGGGUGUCAAGCCCGAGCGCGUAAUGAAAGUAAACGGAGGUGGGAACCUUUUAGGUGCACCAUCGACCGAUCUUGAUGUCUUCGGAUGGAUUUGAGUAAGAGCAUAGCUGUUGGGACCCGAAAGAUGGUGAACUAUGCCUGAAUAGGGUGAAGCCAGAGGAAACUCUGGUGGAGGCUCGCAGCGGUUCUGACGUGCAAAUCGAUCGUCAAAUUUGGGCAUAGGGGCGAAAGACUAAUCGAACUAUCUAGUAGCUGGUUCCUGCCGAAGUUUCCCUCAGGAUAGCAGUAACGUUUUCAGUUUUAUGAGGUAAAGCGAAUGAUUAGAGGCCUGGGGGUUGAAACAACCUUCACCUAUUCUCAAACUUUAAAUAUGUAAGAAGUCCUUGUUACUUAAUUGAACGUGGACAUUUGAAUGUAUCGUUACUAGUGGGCCAUUUUUGGUAAGCAGAACUGGCGAUGCGGGAUGAACCGAACGUGGGGUUAAGGUGCCAGAAUGCACGCUCAUCAGACACCACAAAAGGUGUUAGUUCAUCUAGACAGCAGGACGGUGGCCAUGGAAGUCGGAAUCCGCUAAGGAGUGUGUAACAACUCACCUGCCGAAUGAACUAGCCCUGAAAAUGGAUGGCGCUUAAGCGUGUUACCUAUACCCCGCCGCCAGGGCAGAAUUUAUGCCCUGGCGAGUAGGCAGGCG